This is a small nuclear RNA of Anolis carolinensis (green anole), 99 nucleotides long. Its record names the gene U5. It matches the Rfam family "U5 spliceosomal RNA". From Rfam's summary of the family: U5 RNA is a component of both types of known spliceosome. The precise function of this molecule is unknown, though it is known that the 5' loop is required for splice site selection and p220 binding, and that both the 3' stem-loop and the Sm site are important for Sm protein binding and cap methylation. Lineage: Eukaryota; Metazoa; Chordata; Lepidosauria; Squamata; Anolidae. The record is from Ensembl.
AUACUCUGGUUUCUCUUCAGAUCGUAUAAAUCUUUCCGUGGAGAGGAACAUAUAGGCGUUUUUAUUCAAUUUUUUUUGAGGCUGUACUUUGGUAGGGUU